CCUACGGGAGGCAGCAGUGGGGGAUAUUGCACAAUGGGGGGAACCCUGAUGCAGCGACGCCGCGUGGGUGAAGGAGCGUUUCGGCGCGUAAAGCCCUAUCGGCAGGGAAGAAGGAGGACGGUACCUGACUAAGAAGCCCCGGCUAACUACGUGCCAGCAGCCGCGGUAAUACGUAGGGGGCAAGCGUUAUCCGGAUUUACUGGGUGUAAAGGGGGCGAAGACGGCAGCGCAAGCCAGGGGUGAAAGCCCGGGUCCAAACCCCGGGACUGCUCUUGUAACUGCGCGGCUGGAGUGCAGGAGGGGAGGGGGGAAUCCCGGGGGUAGCGGGGAAAGGGGUGGAUAUAGGAGGAACACCGGUGGCGAAGGCGGCCUGAUGGACUGCGACUGACGUUGAGGCCCGAAAGCGUGGGGAGCAAACAGGAUUAGAUACCCGUGUAGUC
RNAcentral lists this ribosomal RNA (440 nucleotides) under uncultured bacterium. RNAcentral describes it as "partial 16S ribosomal RNA". It matches the Rfam family "Bacterial small subunit ribosomal RNA", at positions 338 to 795 of the family's 1533-position model. The record is from RNAcentral.